GAUGAACGCUGGCGGCGUGCUUAACACAUGCAAGUCGAACGGGAAUUACUUUAUUGAAACUUCGGUCGAUUUAAUUUAAUUCUAGUGGCGGACGGGUGAGUAACGCGUGGGUAACCUGCCUUAUACAGGGGGAUAACAGUCAGAAAUGGCUGCUAAUACCGCAUAAGCGCACAGAGCUGCAUGGCUCGGUGUGAAAAACUCCGGUGGUAUAAGAUGGACCCGCGUUGGAUUAGCUUGUUGGUGGGGUAACGGCCCACCAAGGCGACGAUCCAUAGCCGGCCUCAGAGGGUGAACGGCCACAUUGGGACUGAGACACGGCCCAGACUCCUACGGGAAGCAGCAGUGGGGAAUAUUGCACAAUGGGGGAAACCCUGAUGCAGCGACGCCGCGUGAAGGAAGAAGUAUCUCGGUAUGUAAACUUCUAUCAGCAGGGAAGAUAGUGACGGUACCUGACUAAGAAGCCCCGGCUAACUACGUG
Molecule: ribosomal RNA, 478 nt
Filed under: uncultured bacterium
Lineage: Bacteria
Description: partial 16S ribosomal RNA
Rfam family: Bacterial small subunit ribosomal RNA
Source: RNAcentral